UGGGGAAUAUUGGACAAUGGGGGGAACCCUGAUCCAGCCAUGCCGCGUGUGUAAAGAAGGCCUUAUGGUUGUAAAGCACUUUAAGCGAGGAGGAGGGUACUGGUAUUAAUACUACCAGGUACUGGACGUUACUCGCAGAAUAAGCACCGGCUAACUCUGUGCCAGCAGCCGCGGUAAUACAGAGGGUGCGAGCGUUAAUCGGAAUUACUGGGCGUAAAGCGCGCGUAGGUGGUUCGUUAAGUUGAAUGUGAAAGCCCCGGGCUCAACCUGGGAACUGCAUCCAAAACUGGCGAGCUAGAGUAGGGCAGAGGGUGGUGGAAUUUCCUGUGUAGCGGUGAAAUGCGUAGAUAUAGGAAGGAACACCAGUGGCGAAGGCGACCACCUGGGCUCAUACUGACACUGAGGUGCGAAAGCGUGGGGAGCAAACAGG
Molecule: ribosomal RNA, 430 nt
Filed under: Pseudomonadota bacterium
Lineage: Bacteria; Pseudomonadati; Pseudomonadota
Description: Proteobacteria bacterium partial 16S ribosomal RNA
Rfam family: Bacterial small subunit ribosomal RNA
Source: RNAcentral